This 253-nucleotide unclassified non-coding RNA is filed under the name uncultured Rickettsiaceae bacterium. RNAcentral describes it as "contains 16S-23S intergenic spacer region". It matches the Rfam family "Bacterial small subunit ribosomal RNA", at positions 524 to 776 of the family's 1533-position model. Lineage: Bacteria; Pseudomonadati; Pseudomonadota; Alphaproteobacteria; Rickettsiales; Rickettsiaceae. The record is from RNAcentral.
GACGGAGGGGGCUAGCGUUAUUCGGAAUUACUGGGCGUAAAGAGCGCGUAGGUGGUGUAAUAAGUUGGAAGUGAAAUCCCAGAGCUCAACUCUGGAACUGCUUUCAAAACUGUUACGCUAGAGUUUAGUAGAGGAUGAUGGAAUUCCUAGUGUAGAGGUGAAAUUCUUAGAUAUUAGGAGGAACACCGAUGGCGAAAGCAAUCAUCUGGGCUAAUACUGACACUAAUGCGCGAAAGCGUGGGGAGCAAACAGG